CAAACCAACCAUCCAACACACCAGUCGCAAACCAAACCAUCCAACACAGCCAGUGCAAACCAACCAUCCAACGUAGCCAUUUCAUCCAGUGCAACCACACCAUCCUGUACAACACGUCGAUGUCUGGCCAGCAUGCUGAUUGCGAAAGAAGCUCUGAGUCAGCCACAGUCCCCAUCAUGCAUCUCAAAUAUCAGUGUGCCGUUAAUAGUGUAUGAAACGCUGUCUGUCGACACAAAAGAUCUCCGCUUUGAGAGUCAUCUGCAAGUUAUGUUGUCUUGGGAAGACCCUGACUUAUCGUGGGACACAUCAGUCUAUCAUCA
Molecule: long non-coding RNA, 320 nt
Organism: Salvelinus sp. IW2-2015
Lineage: Eukaryota; Metazoa; Chordata; Actinopteri; Salmoniformes; Salmonidae
Source: RefSeq, a predicted model, not a curated record